GCUGGCGUAGUCUAACGGUUAGGAUAAGCGGCUGUGGACCGCUUGAACCGGGUUCAACUCCCGGCGCCGGCC
Molecule: transfer RNA, 72 nt
Filed under: Candidatus Iainarchaeum sp.
Lineage: Archaea; Nanobdellati; Candidatus Iainarchaeota; Candidatus Iainarchaeia; Candidatus Iainarchaeales; Candidatus Iainarchaeaceae
Description: tRNA-His
Rfam family: tRNA
About the family: Transfer RNA (tRNA) molecules are approximately 80 nucleotides in length.
Source: RNAcentral